This 466-nucleotide ribosomal RNA is filed under the name uncultured bacterium. Its description in RNAcentral is "partial 16S ribosomal RNA". It matches the Rfam family "Bacterial small subunit ribosomal RNA", at positions 28 to 507 of the family's 1533-position model. The record is from RNAcentral.
GAUGAACGCUGGCGGCGUGCUUAACACAUGCAAGUCGAACGGAAAGGCUCCUGCUUGCAGGGGUACUCGAGUGGCGAACGGGUGAGUAACACGUGGGUGAUCUGCCCUGCACUUCGGGAUAAGCCUGGGAAACUGGGUCUAAUACCGGAUAGGACGAUGGUUUGGAUGCCAUUGUGGAAAGUUUUUCGGUGUGGGAUGAGCUCGCGGCCUAUCAGCUUGUUGGUGGGGUAAUGGCCUACCAAGGCGUCGACGGGUAGCCGGCCUGAGAGGGUGUACGGCCACAUUGGGACUGAGAUACGGCCCAGACGCCGACGGGAGGCAGCAGUGGGGAAUAUUGCACAAUGGGCGCAAGCCUGAUGCAGCGACGCCGCGUGGGGGAUGACGGCCUUCGGGUUGUAAACUCCUUUCGCUAGGGACGAAGCGUUUUGUGACGGUACCUGGAGAAGAAGCACCGGCUAACUACGUG